This 21-nucleotide ribosomal RNA is filed under the name Hebeloma alboerumpens. RNAcentral describes it as "partial 28S ribosomal RNA". The record is from RNAcentral. Lineage: Eukaryota; Fungi; Basidiomycota; Agaricomycetes; Agaricales; Hymenogastraceae.
CGCUGAACUUAAGCAUAUCAA